Molecule: ribosomal RNA, 668 nt
Filed under: uncultured bacterium
Lineage: Bacteria
Description: bacterial SSU rRNA
Rfam family: Bacterial small subunit ribosomal RNA
Source: RNAcentral
AGAGUUUGAUCAUGGCUCAGGAUGAACGCUGGCGGCGUGCUUAACACAUGCAAGUCGAACGGAAAGGCCUCUAGCUUGCUAGAGGUGCUCGAGUGGCGAACGGGUGAGUAACACGUGGGUGAUCUGCCCUGCACUGUGGGAUAAGCCUGGGAAACUGGGUCUAAUACCAUAUAGGACCGCACUUUGGAUGGUGUGGUGGAAAGCUUUUGCGGUGUGGGAUGAGCCUGCGGCCUAUCAGCUUGUUGGUGGGGUAAUGGCCUACCAAGGCGGCGACGGGUAUCCGGCCUGAGAGGGUGUACGGACACAUUGGGACUGAGAUACGGCCCAGACUCCUACGGGAGGCAGCAGUGGGGAAUAUUGCACAAUGGGCGCAAGCCUGAUGCAGCGACGCCGCGUGGGGGAUGAAGGCCUUCGGGUUGUAAACUCCUUUCGCUAUCGACGAAGCCACUUGUGGUGACGGUAGGUAGAUAAGAAGCACCGGCUAACUACGUGCCAGCAGCCGCGGUAAUACGUAGGGUGCAAGCGUUGUCCGGAAUUACUGGGCGUAAAGAGCUCGUAGGUGGUUUGUCGCGUCGUCUGUGAAAUCCCGGGGCUUAACUUCGGGCGUGCAGGCGAUACUGGCAUAACUUGAGUGCUGUAGGGGAGACUGGAAUUCCUGGUGUAGCGGU